AUUGAACGCUGGCGGCGUGCUUUACACAUGCAAGUCGAACGGCAGCACGGGUGCUUGCACCUGGUGGCGAGUGGCGAACGGGUGAGUAAAGCAUCGGAACGUGCCCUGGAAUGGGGGAUAACGUAGCGAAAGUUACGCUAAUACCGCAUAUUCUGUGAGCAGGAAAGCAGGGGAUCGCAAGACCUUGCGUUCUGGGAGCGGCCGAUGUCGGAUUAGCUAGUUGGUGGGGUAAAAGCCUACCAAGGCGACGAUCCGUAGCGGGUCUGAGAGGAUGAUCCGCCACACUGGGACUGAGACACGGCCCAGACUCCUACGGGAGGCAGCAGUGGGGAAUUUUGGGCAAUGGGCGGAAGCCUGAUCCAGCCAUUCCGCGUGAGUGAAGAA
RNAcentral lists this ribosomal RNA (384 nucleotides) under uncultured bacterium. RNAcentral describes it as "bacterial SSU rRNA". It matches the Rfam family "Bacterial small subunit ribosomal RNA", at positions 30 to 412 of the family's 1533-position model. The record is from RNAcentral.